AGAUUGAACGCUGGCGGCAGGCCUAACACAUGCAAGUCGAGCGGCAGCACGGGUACUUGUAUCUGGUGGCGAGCGGCGGACGGGUGAGUAAUGCCUAGGAAUCUGCCUGGUAGUGGGGGAUAACGCUCGGAAACGGACGCUAAUACCGCAUACGUCCUACGGGAGAAAGCAGGGGACCUUCGGGCCUUGCGCUAUCAGAUGAGCCUAGGGUCGGAUUAGCUUAGGUUGGUGGGGUAAUGGCUCACCAAGGCGACGAUCCGUAACUGGUCUGAGAGGAUGAUCAGUCACACUGGAACUGAGACACGGUCCAGACUCCGUACGGGAGCAGCAGGUGGGAUAUUGGACAGUGGGACAAAGUCCUAGACUCGAGCCAGUCGGCCGUCGUGUAGUAGGAAACGUAAGGUUCCUUACGGAUUUAGUAAAGCUAACGUUUUAGGUAGGGACGGAAGGUCUAAGUUACCUAAGUACGUAUUCGUUAGUUUACGACGGUUACAUAAGGUAAUACGCGAACCCGU
This 515-nucleotide ribosomal RNA is filed under the name uncultured soil bacterium. RNAcentral's name for it is "bacterial SSU rRNA". It matches the Rfam family "Bacterial small subunit ribosomal RNA", at positions 26 to 528 of the family's 1533-position model. The record is from RNAcentral.